RNAcentral lists this ribosomal RNA (520 nucleotides) under uncultured Glomus. RNAcentral describes it as "SSU rRNA". It matches the Rfam family "Eukaryotic small subunit ribosomal RNA", at positions 569 to 1091 of the family's 1831-position model. Lineage: Eukaryota; Fungi; Glomeromycota; Glomeromycetes; Glomerales; Glomeraceae. The record is from RNAcentral.
AGCAGCCGCGGUAAUUCCAACUCCAAUAGCGUAUAUUAAAGUUGUUGCAGUUAAAAAGCUCGUAGUUGAAUUUCGGGAUCAAUAUGCUGGUCGUGCCUUUGGUACGUACUGGUAUUAUUGGUUUCUCCUUUCUGAUGAAUCACGAUGUCAUUAAUUUGGUGUCAUGGGGAAUCAGGACUGUUACUUUGAAAAAAUUAGAGUGUUUAAAGCAGGCUUACGCUUGAAUACAUUAGCGUGGAAUAAUGAAAUAGGACGUUUAAUUCUAUUUUGUUGGUUUCUAGGAUUGACGUAAUGAUUAAUAGGGAUAGUUGGGGGCAUUAGUAUUCAAUUGUCAGAGGUGAAAUUCUUGGAUUUAUUGAAGACUAACUACUGCGAAAGCAUUUGCCAAGGAUGUUUUCAUUAAUCAAGAACGAAAGUUAGGGGAUCGAAGACGAUCAGAUGCCGUCGUAGUCUUAACCAUAAACUAUGCCGACUAGGGAUCGGAUGAUGUUAAUUUUUAAUGACUCAUUCGGCGCCUUAA